This 508-nucleotide ribosomal RNA is filed under the name uncultured bacterium. RNAcentral's name for it is "partial 16S ribosomal RNA". It matches the Rfam family "Bacterial small subunit ribosomal RNA", at positions 28 to 523 of the family's 1533-position model. The record is from RNAcentral.
GAUGAACGCUAGCUACAGGCUUAACACAUGCAAGUCGAGGGGAAACGACAUCGAAAGCUUGCUUUUGAUGGGCGUCGACCGGCGCACGGGUGAGUAACGCGUAUCCAACCUGCCCACCACUUGGGGAUAACCUUGCGAAAGUAAGACUAAUACCCAAUGACGUCUCUAGAAGACAUCUGAAAGAGAUUAAAGAUUUAUCGGUGAUGGAUGGGGAUGCGUCUGAUUAGCUUGUUGGCGGGGUAACGGCCCACCAAGGCUACGAUCAGUAGGGGUUCUGAGAGGAAGGUCCCCCACAUUGGAACUGAGACACGGUCCAAACUCCUACGGGAGGCAGCAGUGAGGAAUAUUGGUCAAUGGACGAGAGUCUGAACCAGCCAAGUAGCGUGCAGGAUGACGGCCCUAUGGGUUGUAAACUGCUUUUAUAAGGGAAUAAAGUGAGCCUCGUGAGGCUUUUUGCAUGUACCUUAUGAAUAAGGACCGGCUAAUUCCGUGCCAGCAGCCGCAGUAA